Molecule: ribosomal RNA, 484 nt
Filed under: uncultured bacterium
Lineage: Bacteria
Description: partial 16S ribosomal RNA
Rfam family: Bacterial small subunit ribosomal RNA
Source: RNAcentral
AUUGAACGCUGGCGGCAGGCCUAACACAUGCAAGUCGAGCGGAUGAAGGGAGCUUGCUCCUGGAUUCAGCGGCGGACGGGUGAGUAAUGCCUAGGAAUCUGCCUGGCAGUGGGGGAUAACGUCCGGAAACGGGCGCUAAUACCUCAUACGUCCUGAGGUAGAAAGUGGGGGUCCUUCGGACCUCACGCUAUCAGAUGAGCCUAGGUCGGAUUAGCUAGUUGGUGGGGUAAAGGCCUACCAAGGCGACGAUCCGUAACUGGUCUGAGAGGAUGAUCAGUCACACUGGAACUGAGACACGGUCCAGACUCCUACGGGAGGCAGCAGUGGGGAAUAUUGGACAAUGGGCGAAAGCCUGAUCCAGCCAUGCCGCGUGUGUGAAGAAGGUCUUCGGAUUGUAAAGCACUUUAAGUUGGGAGGAAGGGCAGUAAGUUAAUACCUUGCUGUUUUGACGUUACCAACAGAGUAAGCACCGGCUAACUUCGUG